RNAcentral lists this ribosomal RNA (425 nucleotides) under Gammaproteobacteria bacterium. RNAcentral's name for it is "partial 23S ribosomal RNA". It matches the Rfam family "Bacterial large subunit ribosomal RNA", at positions 1 to 460 of the family's 2925-position model. Lineage: Bacteria; Pseudomonadati; Pseudomonadota; Gammaproteobacteria. The record is from RNAcentral. RNAcentral also lists the same sequence under 1 other name.
GUUAUAUGGUCAAGCGACUAAGCGCACAUGGUGGAUGCCUAGGCAGUAAGAGGCGAUGAAGGACGUGGUAGUCUGCGAUAAGCUUCGGUUAGCUGACAAACAAGCUUUGACCCGGAGAUUUCCGAAUGGGGAAACCCACUCUGCUUGCAGAGUAUCUUGCACUGAAUACAUAGGUGUAGGAGGCGAACGCGGUGAACUGAAACAUCUAAGUAACCGUAGGAAAAGAAAUCAACCGAGAUUCCCUCAGUAGCGGCGAGCGAACGGGGACCAGCCCAGUUACCAUCAAUCUGAUGACCCUAGUAAAACGAUCUGGAAAGUUCGGCCAUAGAAGGUGAUAGCCCUGUAUACGAAAGGCGAUGAUGAGGAGUAACAAAGAGUAGGUCGGGGCACGUGAAACCUUGACUGAACAUGGGGGGACCAUCCUC